UCCUACGGGGGGCAGCAGUAGGGAAUUUUCGUCAAUGGGCGCAAGCCUGAACGAGCGAUGCCGCGUGAGUGAAGAAGGCCUUCGGGUCGUAAAGCUCUGUUGCGGGGGAAAAAAGGCAGCAUCAGGAAAUGGGUGCUGACUGAUGGUGCCCCGCCAGAAAGUCACGGCUAACUACGUGCCAGCAGCCGCGGUAAUACGUAGGUGGCGAGCGUUAUCCGGAUUUAUUGGGUUUAAAGGGUGCGUAGGCGGUCCGUUAAGUCAGCGGUAAAAUUGCGGGGCUCAACCCCGUCGAGCCGUUGAAACUG
RNAcentral lists this ribosomal RNA (305 nucleotides) under uncultured bacterium. Its description in RNAcentral is "bacterial SSU rRNA". It matches the Rfam family "Bacterial small subunit ribosomal RNA", at positions 337 to 635 of the family's 1533-position model. The record is from RNAcentral.